UGGAGGGGGAUAACUACUGGAAACGGUGGCUAAUACCGCAUAAUGUCGCAAGACCAAAGAGGGGGACCUUCGGGCCUCUUGCCAUCAGAUGUGCCCAGAUGGGAUUAGCUUGUUGGUGAGGUAACGGCUCACCAAGGCGACGAUCCCUAGCUGGUCUGAGAGGAUGACCAGCCACACUGGAACUGAGACACGGUCCAGACUCCUACGGGAGGCAGCAGUGGGGAAUAUUGCACAAUGGGCGCAAGCCUGAUGCAGCCAUGCCGCGUGUAUGAAGAAGGCCUUCGGGUUGUAAAGUACUUUCAGCGGGGAGG
Molecule: ribosomal RNA, 311 nt
Filed under: Salmonella enterica subsp. enterica
Lineage: Bacteria; Pseudomonadati; Pseudomonadota; Gammaproteobacteria; Enterobacterales; Enterobacteriaceae
Description: bacterial SSU rRNA
Rfam family: Bacterial small subunit ribosomal RNA
Source: RNAcentral